CACAACCAGGGUCAUUUUUUGACAAUCUUCCUCUCAUAGAGAAAAGGAUAAAUGCAUGGGGCCUUCUUUCUCAGAUUUACAUGUCAUAGGGCUUUUGGUUACCUUUUGUAAAGUGCUUGGUGAUGCCAAAUGUCUUUCUGACAUGCUCCAAUCAAGCUCUCUUAACCUAGCAAGGUCUGUGGAUCUAGUAGGUGCCCUUACAGACACAUUACAGGAAGGGCUGUGGAUCUAGUAGGUGCCCUUACAGACACAUUACAGGAAGGGCUGUGGAUCUAGUAGGUGCCCUUACAGACACAUUACAGGAAGGGCUGUGGAUCUAGUAGGUGCCCUUACAGACACAUUACAGGAAGGGCUGUGGAUCUAGUAGGUGCCCUUACAGACACAUUACAGGAAGGGCUGUGGAUCUAGUAGGUGCCCUUACAGACUUUUGAGAACUAUGGAAGGAGGUUGAAGAGAUUUCAG
Molecule: long non-coding RNA, 462 nt
Organism: Oncorhynchus tshawytscha (Chinook salmon)
Lineage: Eukaryota; Metazoa; Chordata; Actinopteri; Salmoniformes; Salmonidae
Source: Ensembl